Molecule: ribosomal RNA, 194 nt
Filed under: uncultured eukaryote
Lineage: Eukaryota
Description: partial 18S ribosomal RNA
Rfam family: Eukaryotic small subunit ribosomal RNA
Source: RNAcentral
GUAACCUGGUUGAUCCUGCCAGUAGUCAUAUGCUUGUCUCAAAGAUUAAGCCAUGCAUGUCUAAGUAUAAACAACUUUAUACUGUAAAACUGCGAACGGCUCAUUAUAUCAGCAAUAAUUUAUUUGAUGGUUUCUUACCCCAUGGAUAACUGUGGUAAUUCUAGAGCUAAUACAUGCGUAAAAUCCCGACUCUU